CCCAGCACUUUAGGAGGCAGGAAUAUUUGAAAGGACAACCAUCCCUGAUAGAUGAGGACCCACCUUUGGUCAGGGGUAUUCAAGUAGGUGCACCCCCCAGCUAGAACCUCCAAACAAGCUCUCAAAUAUUGUCUGCCAUUCGUAGAUGUGGAUGUGCCCUCAGGAAUGCACC
This is an unclassified non-coding RNA of Gorilla gorilla gorilla (western lowland gorilla), 172 nucleotides long. Its record names the gene 7SK. It matches the Rfam family "7SK RNA". From Rfam's summary of the family: 7SK was discovered as an abundant small nuclear RNA in the mid-70s but a possible function has only recently been suggested. Two independent studies have found that 7SK RNA binds the CDK9/cyclin T complex (known as elongation factor P-TEFb). Lineage: Eukaryota; Metazoa; Chordata; Mammalia; Primates; Hominidae. The record is from Ensembl.